GCACUGCUGAGGAAUGGCAUAAUAGGAUGAAACGGCCGUCCAGUGC
Molecule: non-coding RNA, 46 nt
Organism: Schistosoma margrebowiei
Lineage: Eukaryota; Metazoa; Platyhelminthes; Trematoda; Strigeidida; Schistosomatidae
Source: Rfam